CCAACGGCCCUCAUUAGGGCCAAACUCAAAUUCCAAACCAAGUUG
Non-coding RNA from Pristionchus pacificus, 45 nucleotides. NCBI's taxonomy places the organism in Eukaryota, Metazoa, Nematoda, Chromadorea, Rhabditida, Neodiplogasteridae. The record is from Rfam.